RNAcentral lists this transfer RNA (85 nucleotides) under Xylaria castorea. Its description in RNAcentral is "tRNA-Arg". It matches the Rfam family "tRNA". From Rfam's summary of the family: Transfer RNA (tRNA) molecules are approximately 80 nucleotides in length. Their secondary structure includes four short double-helical elements and three loops (D, anti-codon, and T loops). Further hydrogen bonds mediate the characteristic L-shaped molecular structure. tRNAs have two regions of fundamental functional importance: the anti-codon, which is responsible for specific mRNA codon recognition, and the 3' end, to which the tRNAs corresponding amino acid is attached (by aminoacyl-tRNA synthetases). tRNAs cope with the degeneracy of the genetic code in two manners: having more than one tRNA (with a specific anti-codon) for a particular amino acid; and 'wobble' base-pairing, i.e. permitting non-standard base-pairing at the 3rd anti-codon position. Lineage: Eukaryota; Fungi; Ascomycota; Sordariomycetes; Xylariales; Xylariaceae. The record is from RNAcentral.
GGCUUCGUGGCCUAAUGGCUAGGGCGCUAGAUUUCGGUACUAUCUGAUCCUCUAGAGAUUGUCGGUUCGAGUCCGGCCGAAGUCG